RNAcentral lists this ribosomal RNA (287 nucleotides) under uncultured bacterium. Its description in RNAcentral is "partial 16S ribosomal RNA". It matches the Rfam family "Bacterial small subunit ribosomal RNA", at positions 773 to 1060 of the family's 1533-position model. The record is from RNAcentral.
GUGGAUUAGAUACCCUGGUAGUCCACGCCGUAAACGGUGGGCGCUAGGUGUGGGGAACAUUCCACGUUCUCCGUGCCGCAGCUAACGCAUUAAGCGCCCCGCCUGGGGAGUACGGCCGCAAGGCUAAAACUCAAAGGAAUUGACGGGGGCCCGCACAAGCGGCGGAGCAUGCGGCUUAAUUCGAUGCAACGCGAAGAACCUUACCUGGGUUUGACAUAUGGGGAAAACUGGCAGAGAUGUCAGGUCCGCAAGGGCCCCAUACAGGUGGUGCACGGCCGUCGCCAACU